AUGCAUAGUUUCAGUUCAGUUCUAUUUUUUACCCCAUCUCAAAAGGAAAAACUAAAUACUCCGUCCGUUUCAAAAUGUAGGGCAUAUAGAUUUUUUAAAAAGUUUACAAACUUUGACAAGUUUAUAGAGAACACUAUUUAUAUCUACAAUACCAAAUAUAUAAAAUAUGGAACUACGUCUUAUGAUGAAUCUGAUAUAUAUGUUCCGCAUUCUAGAUGUAAAUAUUUUCCUCCACAAACUUGGUCAAAGUUUGCGAGGUUUGACUUUCCUAAAAAUCUAUAUGCACUACAUUAUGGAACAGAGGGAGUAUCUUAUUAA
Molecule: ribosomal RNA, 318 nt
Filed under: Triticum aestivum (bread wheat)
Lineage: Eukaryota; Viridiplantae; Streptophyta; Magnoliopsida; Poales; Poaceae
Description: partial small subunit ribosomal RNA
Source: RNAcentral